CAGGGAAUAGAUCAAUUGGUGGAUUGUCUGCGUUGGAAGUAGGAGGUGUGAGUUCAAGUCUCAUUUCCUUGA
Molecule: transfer RNA, 72 nt
Filed under: Geodia neptuni
Lineage: Eukaryota; Metazoa; Porifera; Demospongiae; Tetractinellida; Geodiidae
Description: tRNA-Pro
Rfam family: tRNA
About the family: Transfer RNA (tRNA) molecules are approximately 80 nucleotides in length. Their secondary structure includes four short double-helical elements and three loops (D, anti-codon, and T loops).
Source: RNAcentral